AGUGAACGCUGGCGGUAGGCCUAACACAUGCAAGUCGAACGGCAGCACAGUAAGAGCUUGCUCUUACGGGUGGCGAGUGGCGGACGGGUGAGGAAUACAUCGGAAUCUACUUUUUCGUGGGGGAUAACGUAGGGAAACGUACGCUAAUACCGCAUACGACCUACGGGUGAAAGCAGGGGAUCUUCGGACCUUGCGCGAUUGAAUGAGCCGAUGUCGGAUUAGCUAGUUGGCGGGGUAAAGGCCCACCAAGGCGACGAUCCGUAGCUGGUCUGAGAGGAUGAUUAGCCACACUGUCACUGAGACACGGUCCAGACUCCUACGGGAGGCAGCAGUGGGGAAUAUUGGACAAUGGGCGCAAGCCUGAUCCAGCCAUACCGCGUGGGUGAAGAAGGCCUUCGGGUUGUAAAGCCCUUUUGUUGGGAAAGAAAAGCAGCAGGUUAAUACCCCGCUGUUCUGACGGUACCCAAAGAAUAAGCACCGGCUAACUUCGUG
This 492-nucleotide ribosomal RNA is filed under the name uncultured bacterium. Its description in RNAcentral is "partial 16S ribosomal RNA". It matches the Rfam family "Bacterial small subunit ribosomal RNA", at positions 29 to 507 of the family's 1533-position model. The record is from RNAcentral.